ACCAGUACCGUGAGGGAAAGGUGAAAAGCACCCCGGGAGGGGAGUGAAACAGUACCUGAAACCGUGCGCCCACGAGCAGUCGGAGCACCCUUGUGGUGUGACGGCGUGCCUUUUGUAGAAUGAGCCAGCGAGUCGCUGGCGCGGGGCGAGGUUAACCGAAAGGGAGCCGGAGCGAAAGCGAGCCUUAACAGGGCGACUUGAGUCCCGCGCCGCGGACGCGAAGCCGGGUGAGCUAUCCGUGGGCAGGCUGAAGCGGGGGUAAGACCCCGUGGAGGGCCGAACGCACGUCGGUUGAAAACGGCGGCGAUGACCUGCGGAUAGGGGUGAAAGGCCAAUCAAACCCGGAGAUAUCUCGUUCUCCCCGAAAUAGCUUUAGGGCUAGCGUCGCGCGUUCACCGCCGGAGGUAGAGCACCGGAUGGACGAGGGGGCUUCGCCGCCUACCGAAUCCAACCGAACUCCGAAUGCCGGCGGCCCAGAGCGCGGCAGUCAGAGCAUGUGGGCUAAGCUGUGUGCUCGAGAGGGAAACAGCCCGGACCGCCCGCUAAGGUCCCCAAGUUCCAGCCGAGUGGCAAAGGAUGUGCGUCCGCCCAGACAACCAGGAUGUUGGCUUAGAAGCAGCCAUGCAUUCAAAGAGUGCGUAACAGCUCACUGGUCGAGUGGACAUGCGCCGACAAUACACGGGGCUAAGCUGGACACCGAAGCGGCGGGAUUUUAUCUAUAUAGAAUCGGUAGGGGAGCUUCCCAUGGGCGGCGAAGCCGCCGGGCGACCGGCGGUGGAGCGCAUGGGAGUGAGAAUGCUGGCAUGAGUAGCGAGAGACGAGAGAGUAACUCGUCCGCCGUGAACCCGAGGUUUCCUGGGCAAGGCUAAUCCUCCCAGGGUCAGUCGGGGGCUAAGGCGAGGCCGGAAGGCGUAGCCGACGCGCAGCAGGCAGACAUUCCUGCACCGCGCACGCGGCGCUACGACCGACGGGGCGACGGAUGGGGGUGGCUCGGCGGGGUUCUGGACGUCCCCGUGAUGGAGCGCGGCCCGCGGACCAGGGAAAUCCGGUCCGCACGAGGGCGAGGCUCCGGACGAAGCAUCUGAGCGAAGCGAGUGAGCCCGAGGUCCCUAGAAAAACCCCUAGGCAGGCGCGUGCGCGCCCGUACCGCAAACCGACACAGGUGGGUGGGUAGAACAUACCGAGGCGAUCGGGUCAACCAUGGUCAAGGAACUCGGCACAAUGGCCCCGUAACUUCGGGAGAAGGGGUGCCCGCGCGUACGUGAACCGGCUUGCCCGGGGAGCGGAGGCGGGCCGCAGUGGAGAGGCCCAAGCGACUGUUUACCAAAAACACAGGACUCUGCAGAAGCCGCAAGGCGACGUAUAGGGUCUGACGCCUGCCCGGUGCCGGAAGGUCACGCGGAGGAGUUAGCCGCAAGGCGAAGCCCCGAAGCCAAGCCCCGGUAAACGGCGGCCGUAACUAUAACGGUCCUAAGGUAGCGAAAUUCCUUGUCGGGUAAGUUCCGACCUGCACGAAAGGCGCAACGACUUGGGCGCUGUCUCGACCAUGGACCCGGUGAAAUUGCACUGGUCGUGAAGAUGCGACUUACCCGCGGAAGGACGGAAAGACCCCGUGAACCUUCACUGCAGCUUGGCAUUGGCCGCUGGUCCCGCGUGUAGAGGAUAGGCAGGAGGCAUCGAUCCGGAGGCGCCAGCCCCCGGGGAGCCGCCCUUGGAAUACUGCCCUCGCGCGACCGGCGUCCUAACCCGAGGCCGUCAACCGGCUCGGGGACCGUGCCAGGCGGGCAGUUUGACUGGGGCGGUCGCCUCCUAAAGGGUAACGGAGGCGCGCGAAGGUCCGCUCGGGACGGUCGGCAACCGUCCUUUUGAAUGCAAGAGUACAAGCGGGCUUGACUGCGAGGCCCACAAGCCGAGCAGGUGCGAAAGCAGGCUCUAGUGAUCCGGCGGCCCCGAGUGGGUGGGCCGUCGCUCAACGGAUAAAAGGUACUCCGGGGAUAACAGGCUGAUCUUGCCCAAGAGUCCACAUCGACGGCAAGGUUUGGCACCUCGAUGUCGGCUCAUCGCAUCCUGGGGCUGGAGCAGGUCCCAAGGGUACGGCUGUUCGCCGUUUAAAGCGGUACGCGAGCUGGGUUCAGAACGUCGUGAGACAGUUCGGUCCCUAUCCUCCG
This 2168-nucleotide ribosomal RNA is filed under the name human gut metagenome. RNAcentral describes it as "bacterial LSU rRNA". It matches the Rfam family "Bacterial large subunit ribosomal RNA", at positions 494 to 2647 of the family's 2925-position model. The record is from RNAcentral.